CAGUAGCCGCGGUAAUACGUAGGGUGCAAGCGUUAAUCGGAAUUACUGGGCGUAAAGCGUGCGCAGGCGGUUAUAUAAGUCAGAUGUGAAAUCCCCGGGCUCAACCUGGGAACUGCAUUUGAGACUGUAUGGCUAGAGUGUGUCAGAGGGGGGUAGAACUCCACGUGUAGCAGUGAAAUGCGUAGAUAUGUGGAGGAAUACCGAUGGCGAAGGCAGCCCCCUGGGCCAAUACUGACGCUCAUGCACGAAAGCGUGGGGAGCAAACAGGAUUAGAUACCCGGGUAGUCCCUGUCUCUUAUAC
This 301-nucleotide ribosomal RNA is filed under the name uncultured bacterium. RNAcentral's name for it is "partial 16S ribosomal RNA". It matches the Rfam family "Bacterial small subunit ribosomal RNA", at positions 509 to 807 of the family's 1533-position model. The record is from RNAcentral.